This is a non-coding RNA of Anolis sagrei ordinatus, 397 nucleotides long. The record is from RefSeq and is a predicted model, not a curated record. Lineage: Eukaryota; Metazoa; Chordata; Lepidosauria; Squamata; Anolidae.
GAGAGAGCAGGAAAGCGAAAGAGAGAGAGAAGCCUGAAAAAGUGGCACAAAAUAGCUGGAAAUGCAUUUGGGCUGACAUAAUUCCCCUUUCCCACAGUGGUCAUUCACUUGGGAGGCUCCAGUGUCCAUUCACUGUCUUAAAGCUAGCUUUUCAGAGCCUAGGGAGGCCAUCUUUCCCUGCCUGAAUGCCUUUUUUGUUGCAAAACAGUGAACUGUUUCUGAAGCCCAGCAUAAAGGAGAUCCAUAUUCUUUUCAGAGGGCAAUUGAAGGCUAAGAACAAUUCAAAAAGAAAUAUCCCAAAUGUGCUACUGCCGGGAGAGUUGGUCACUUCACUCCAUCUCAGGCUGGCAAAACCCUAUCCUUCUGAUACAGGUUGGUUACAUAUCCCUCAGCAUUC